GAUGAAGAACGCAGCAAAAUGCGAUAAGUAAUGUGAAUUGCAGAAUUCAGUGAAUCAUCGAAUCUUUGAACGCACAUUGCGCCCGCCAGUAUUCUGGCGGGCAUGCCUGUUCGAGCGUCAUUUCAACCCUCAAGCACAGCUUGGUGUUGGGACUCGCGUUAAUUCGCGUUCCCCAAAUUGAUUGGCGGUCACGUCGAGCUUCCAUAGCGUAGUAGUAAAACCCUCGUUACUGGUAAUCGUCGCGGCCACGCCGUUAAACCCCAACUUCUGAAUGUUGACCUCGGAUCAGGUAGGAAUACCCGCUGAACUUAAGCAUAGCAAUAAGCGGAGGA
RNAcentral lists this unclassified non-coding RNA (332 nucleotides) under soil metagenome. RNAcentral's name for it is "partial contains 5.8S ribosomal RNA, internal transcribed spacer 2, and large subunit ribosomal RNA". The stretch from base 1 to 120 matches the Rfam family "5.8S ribosomal RNA", at positions 35 to 154 of the family's 154-position model. The record is from RNAcentral.